RNAcentral lists this long non-coding RNA (1134 nucleotides) under Apteryx owenii (little spotted kiwi). Its description in RNAcentral is "lncRNA (ENSAOWG00000012001.1)". Lineage: Eukaryota; Metazoa; Chordata; Aves; Apterygiformes; Apterygidae. The record is from RNAcentral.
GCCAUGUCUUGCCAAAGGGCUGCCUUGGGGAGUCAUGUUUGUUUGGUCUCUUUCAGAUGAUCACUCGCGAGUCAAGCUGAGCCAACUGGGGGACGAUCCACAUUCAGACUAUAUCAAUGCCAACUUCAUGCCUGUGAGUGCCCACUUGCCUUCCCCAGGCACAGAGACAGCACAUGGCCACAGAGCACCAGCGGAGAAACUCUGCCUGGAUUCAGGUCAUGAGGGCUGGUGGGCAAGAGCUACCACUGAAACAGUAGCUGGCACAGGCUGUGGCAAGGUCUUGGGAGUUGGGCACAGAUGAAGAGUUGCCUGCUAGCUGGGAUUGAUGGAGAUGAGGAGAGAUGAUGGGUGAUUGCUGUGAAUGCAUAGGUGUCAGUGUGGGGAGACUGGCAAGGCCUUUGCUUUCUCCUUGAGGACUAUCCACUUUCCAAUCUCUCCCAGCUUACUGCCCCAUCUAUCUGUCUGCUCUUUCUCCUUCUGGUCUGUACAGCUGCAUUUGAACAACCCUGGACCUGUGCCCAUGUCCCCCGUCUGGGGGGUUUUCCCAGGUAACAGCCAGGGGCCCACAGCAUGCAUGGGUUUGUGGAUUUGCAGUGCAUGUGUGUGUUGAAGGGACAAAGGCAAAGAAUCAGGCCUGACACCUUGCAUGCUCACCUAACCUCAAGUAAUGGUUGGGGAGCACAAGAAAGACCCUGGUCUGUCUUUACCUGGUUGAAGAUGGAUUAGGAACUCCUUGGAGGGAAGUGUGGGGGGGGGGUUGUAUUUCAUUCCAAAUACGUAGUGAGCAUGUGUUGGGGAGCACACACUUCCUGUGUGGUGGCACCUCUGAGAUCACCUGCUGGGGUAACUGUGCCCACAGGGGCAGCUGGGCUGAGGAAAAUGGGUAUCUCCCCGUCUACCACAAAGGCAGACCAGGCACUGACUCUGUCCCAGGGCAGGACCCACCUGCCUUGGGAACUUGCCAAUUCUUUGUCUGGCUCUUGCUUAGGGCUACACAUCCCAGCAGGAGUUCAUUGCCACUCAGGGGCCCCUGAAGAAAACAAUAGAGGACUUCUGGAGGCUGGUAUGGGAGCAGAACGUCUGCAACAUCAUCAUGUUGACAGUGUGCAUGGAGAAUGGGCGGGUCCUCUGUGA